Cyprinus carpio carpio is the source of this 481-nucleotide long non-coding RNA. The record is from Ensembl. NCBI's taxonomy places the organism in Eukaryota, Metazoa, Chordata, Actinopteri, Cypriniformes, Cyprinidae.
UGAGUUUGAUCAUAGAAUGAGUAAACAUGUUGAUGGUCACAAUAGUCACAAACAGCUGCUUUACUAAAUUCUGCUGGGGUGAAAUUCAGUGCAGUCAUGUAUCGUGAUACAUAUUGUAUCGUGACUUUGCUGGUGAUACACAGCCCUAAAGGACACAUUUAUAGGAAACUACAAAACUUAUCUGUAUAAACGAAGAACGUCUGGCAACGCCCAUGUUUCAGCUGCAGCCAUUAAUGACCGCUGUUCUCAGAGUGAUGCCCUGCUGGUCCGGUCCUGCUCAGCCUAAUGGACUGGCCCUGACCUGGUUUCUCCAGACCCAUAUUCUUCUGGGAAAAUGCUUCAUCUGGCAGGACUCAAUCCUACGCAGCUGCAGCCAGCUUAUGAGCAAAUCUCAAAUCAUAUACAAAACCUUUGGUACAGGUUAAACAUACAUACAUGGAAUGACAUGAGGAUGUGCACUGGCCCCCUCCUGCUUGUCAUA